Molecule: RNase P RNA, 417 nt
Filed under: Deltaproteobacteria bacterium
Lineage: Bacteria; Pseudomonadati; Myxococcota; Myxococcia
Description: RNase P RNA component class A
Rfam family: Bacterial RNase P class A
About the family: Ribonuclease P (RNase P) is a ubiquitous endoribonuclease, found in archaea, bacteria and eukarya as well as chloroplasts and mitochondria. Its best characterised activity is the generation of mature 5'-ends of tRNAs by cleaving the 5'-leader elements of precursor-tRNAs. Cellular RNase Ps are ribonucleoproteins.
Source: RNAcentral
CGGAGGAGAUCGAACGACCGCUCUCCGUCAUUGGAGAGAGGAAAGUCCGGACUCCCGGGGACGGGAUGGCCGUUAACGACGGCCCCGAGCGAUCGGGGGAAAGUGCCACAGAAAGGAGACCGCCGCGGCGGGCUCGGCUUCGGGUCCGCCCAGGCAAGGGUGAAAGGGCGAGGUAAGAUCUCGCUCCACCGGGGCGUGAGCUCCGGUGCGGACAAACCCCAUCCGGAGCAAGACCGAAUAGGAGGGCUCCUCUCUCGGCGUGAUCUUCGGGUCACCUGAGAGCCGGCCAGUCCCUACCGGAGGGGCCCUCGGGUAUGGUCGCAUGAUCCCGUCGGCAACGACGGGACCAGAGGAAUGGUCGUUGCCCCCGGUUGUUUGCCGGGGGGACAGAAUCCGGCUUACAGAUCCCUCCGCUCU